Molecule: ribosomal RNA, 490 nt
Filed under: uncultured bacterium
Lineage: Bacteria
Description: partial 16S ribosomal RNA
Rfam family: Bacterial small subunit ribosomal RNA
Source: RNAcentral
AGUGAACGCUGGCGGUAGGCCUAACACAUGCAAGUCGAACGGCAGCACAGGAGAGCUUGCUUUCUAGGUGGCGAGUGGCGGACGGGUGAGGAAUACAUCGGAAUCUGCCCAGUCGUGGGGGAUAACGUAGGGAAACUUACGCUAAUACCGCAUACGACCUUCGGGUGAAAGAGGGGGAUCGCAAGACCUCUCGCGAUUGGAUGAGCCGAUGUCGGAUUAGCUAGUUAGCGGGGUAAUGGCCCACCAAGGCGACGAUCCGUAGCUGGUCUGAGAGGAUGAUCAGCCACACUGGAACUGAGACACGGUCCAGACUCCUACGGGAGGCAGCAGUGGGGAAUAUUGGACAAUGGGCGCAAGCCUGAUCCAGCCAUACCGCGUGGGUGAAGAAGGCCUUCGGGUUGUAAAGCCCUUUUGUUGGGAAAGAAAUCUUUCAGGCUAAUACCCUGGGAGGAUGACGGUACCCAAAGAAUAAGCACCGGCUAACUUCGUG